ACUCUCUAUAUCUAGAUCAAAGGUCAUGAUCAUAAAAAUAUUUAUAGUUAUGUUAAAUCGGGAUCACGUACAUUCCUGACACAAACGUUACCAUACAUGGUACGGCCAUGUGUAUUCCAGACACCCACACACGUUGCACACAUGUUCUUUCUUUUCACAUAGAAUAUGAAACUCUCUGAGGUAAGUCAUAAAAAUAUAUAUAGUUAUGUUAAAUCUGGAUCACAUACAUUCCUGACACAAACGUUACCAUACCUGGUACGGCCAUAUGUUUUCCACCCACACAAGUUGCACACACAUGUUCUUUCUAACACUCUGAGGUAGGUCAUAAAAAUAUAUAUAGUUAUGUUAAAUCUGGAUCACAUACAUUCCUGACACAAACGUUACCAUACCUGGUACGGCCAUAUGUUUUCCACCCACACAAGUUGCACACACAUGUUCUUUCUAACACUCUGAGGUAGGUCAUAAAAAUAUAUAUAGUUAUGUUAAAUCUGGAUCACAUCCAUUCCUGACACAAAUGUUACCAUACAUGGUAUGGCCAUGUGUAUUACACAUCCAAACAAAAAUAUGACACACACACACACACACACACACACACGUGCACGUACAGACAAACGCAUGCAUAUGAACCUGUUUAUAAAAGUCGAGCAUCCCUCUAGGUUUUAUAAUACUCUGUACUUAGAACAACGUGUGCGAGCUUACAACAUGGCUGAUGUUUGUCCUAACGUGCCGAAAAAAGCUCACCCUUUUUUGGGAAGAAUAGAAAAAAUGUUAGAACAUGAAAAGAUUCAAUAUUGGGUAAUGUCAAACGGAUGUACAGCCGGGUUUUUUUUUCGAUGCAGAAAAAGGAACCGUUUUGCUUUUCAAGUUCUCGGUCCCGGGACACACGAUCUUUCCUUUCACGUAGAAUAUGAAGCACUCUGAGUCAGGCCUAGGUCAAAGGUCAACACCGUAAAACCCCGUUCUGAUGCAUUCCCACACACACACACACCCCACACACACUAGUAUGCAUACGAACCUGUUUAUAAAAGUCGAGCACUUCGAAAGUUUUAACAUCGGCAAAGGUUCGACCGAAUUUCCAGAGUCUAUCCUUCACUACUUCCAGACACCAUGGAUUUCUCAGCAGGUAAAAAUAUGUAUUUUAAUCAAUUAAUAGUUAAAUAUAAAUUGAAAUACAAUGUUUAUGUAAUUAUCCAAUUGGCAAUGAUAUUGAUAUAAACUUAGAACUAAUCUUUCUGAGUACAAAAAUCAUCAUCCUUAUCUGGUCAUUAUGUAAUCUGGUACGAUACUUUAUCUAAGAUUAAAAUAUUCAUUACAUUUAUAUUACAGUGCAAGACCGAGUUAAGCUCAUCUGAUUCUAGUGUAUAGACAGCUUGGUGAUUUAUUUCUGAUGAUGAGAUUCCCGAAACAACCGCUCAUGACCUUUUGAAUCUGAGCUCCACACGCAAGUCAUAACAUAAAAUUAUAAAUGUUUCAUGCUGUAAAGUCUUUCAUACGUGAAUAUAACAUUGUUUGUAUCAUAUUCAGAAGUUGAGGGAAACGUGACUAACAGUGCUUACGACGGAGAUAUUUCAGAUACGAGUGAUGCAAUAGAAGACCAAGAGGAAAUCAUCUCGGAAACCGACAUUCAACAAGACAUCGAACUACAACAGAUAUGUGCAGUGUGGCGUGAAUUCUUCGAAGCAAAGACUGAUUUAUUGGAAAACUUUGGACAGAUUGAUUAUACACUUGAAUCUGGUCGAGGUACAGAUUUUAUCCCUUUACUGUACAGCACGCUUGAAAAUGUGAAUAGAUGUCUCUCAGUGAACAUAAAGUUGAUUAGAAAAUUGUAUGAUAGAUAUGGCGCAGAAACGACUGAAAUGCAGUUC
Ictalurus furcatus (blue catfish) is the source of this 1865-nucleotide long non-coding RNA. RefSeq lists it as uncharacterized. NCBI's taxonomy places the organism in Eukaryota, Metazoa, Chordata, Actinopteri, Siluriformes, Ictaluridae. The transcript is spliced from 3 exons. The record is from RefSeq and is a predicted model, not a curated record.